This 370-nucleotide ribosomal RNA is filed under the name uncultured bacterium. RNAcentral describes it as "partial 16S ribosomal RNA". It matches the Rfam family "Bacterial small subunit ribosomal RNA", at positions 509 to 881 of the family's 1533-position model. The record is from RNAcentral.
CAGCAGCCGCGGUAAUACGNAUGGUGCAAGCGNNAUCCGGAUNUACUGGGUGUAAAGGGUGAGUAGGCGGUCAUGCAAGNCAUAUGUGAAAUGUCAGGGCUUAACCUNGGCGCNGCAUAAGAAACNGUAUGACUAGAGUGCAGGAGAGGUAAGCGGAAUNCCUAGUGUAGCGGUGAAAUGCGUAGAUAUUAGGAAGAACACCGGUGGCGAAGGCGGCUUACUGGACUGUUACUGACGCUGAGUCACGAAAGCGUGGGGAGCAAACAGGAUUAGAUACCCUGGUAGUCCACGCCGUAAACGAUGAGUGCUAGGUGUUGGCCAGAGAUGGUCGGUGCCGCAGCAAACGCAAUAAGCACUCCACCUGGGGAGU